CCUCAGGGAGCCACGUGCCACCCCAGGUCAUCAAGAUGAAGUUGGCUGGAAUCAUUUGGAAUCUGCUGGUCAAGUCCCGAUGUCUGUUUUAAGAGGGCCACACAAAUCUUAGGGGAGUCCCAGGUGUCUGGGAAAGUUCUCCCUUGUGUGUUCUGGGAAAGAGUGGGUUUCCAUCUGAUAAGGGAACCAUUGGUCUGGAUCGUGUUUCAGAAAGUGAAGGAAACAGAAAGACGCCCUCACUCUUGUGCUUUCCUGAUACUGCCUCACCUCCUGUGCUGCUGCGUUAGGAGUAAACUGUCCUAGAAAAUCAAAAAUCACAACAACGACCUAUGGAGAUCUCCCAUGGACUAAUGGGAGAGACUUUGCUCAGAGAAAAUCGAAGGUCAGGAAGUUCAGAGAUGUCAACGUAGGGUCGCUGGACUUGUAUGAGAAGCCCAGUUAAAUUUGAGUGUCAGAUAAACAAUGAUUUUAGUAUAUAUGUGUCCCAUGCAAUUAAAAACUUUCAUUACAAAAAGACAUAACUUUUAGUAUAGGUAUGUCCUAUGUAAAAAAAU
Molecule: long non-coding RNA, 554 nt
Filed under: Ictidomys tridecemlineatus (thirteen-lined ground squirrel)
Lineage: Eukaryota; Metazoa; Chordata; Mammalia; Rodentia; Sciuridae
Description: lncRNA (ENSSTOG00000032738.1)
Source: RNAcentral